RNAcentral lists this ribosomal RNA (530 nucleotides) under uncultured bacterium. RNAcentral's name for it is "bacterial SSU rRNA". It matches the Rfam family "Bacterial small subunit ribosomal RNA", at positions 355 to 902 of the family's 1533-position model. The record is from RNAcentral.
UGGGGAAUAUUAGGCAAUGGGGGAAACCCUGACCUAGCCAUGCCGCGUGCGUGAAGAAGGUCUUAGGAUUGUAAAGCGCUUUCAGCGGGGAAGAUGAUGACGGUACCCGCAGAAGAAGCCCCGGCUAACUCCGUGCCAGCAGCCGCGGUAAUACGGAGGGGGCUAGCGUUGUUCGGAAUUACUGGGCGUAAAGGGCGUGUAGGCGGCCAAUUAAGUCAGAGGUGAAAUCCCCGAGCUCAACUUGGGAACUGCCUUUGAUACUGAUUGGCUAGAGUUCGGGAGAGGGUAGUGGAAUUCCCAGUGUAGAGGUGAAAUUCGUAGAUAUUGGGAAGAACACCAGUGGCGAAGGCGGCUACCUGGACCGAUACUGACGCUGAGGCGCGAAAGCGUGGGGAGCAAACAGGAUUAGAUACCCUGGUAGUCCACGCCGUAAACGAUGUCUGCUAGUCGUUGGGGAGCAUAGCUCUUCGGUGACGCAGCUAACGCAUUAAGCAGACCGCCUGGGGAGUACGGCCGCAAGGUUAAAACUC